Molecule: long non-coding RNA, 3976 nt
Organism: Chinchilla lanigera (long-tailed chinchilla)
Lineage: Eukaryota; Metazoa; Chordata; Mammalia; Rodentia; Chinchillidae
Exons: 4
Source: RefSeq, a predicted model, not a curated record
CCUUAGCAGGACCCUGCCUCAAACUAAAACACAAAACAAGGCUUGGGAUAUAUCUCAGUGGGGAGGCCCUGCAUCUGCUCUAUUUUUGGAUCACCUGCCCUCUUCAAAGCCCAUGCUGUGUACCAUACAGGUCACUGCCCACAGCCCUCUGUCCUCCUCCCAGGAGCCUUGACUGUCCCCCCAGAUAUCUUCCCCACAUGCAUGCCACUUCUCGCCUCCCCCCCGCCUGGCAGCUUGGGAAGCCAAGGCCGGGUCCAGCUCUGCUUCCUUUGGGACCCACAGCGCCAUGUCGGGUCCCCAGCGUGAUGAGACGAACCCCUGAGGAGUGCAAACUGCCCUCGGGGCCCUCCCGGGGGCCCAGGCACUGGCUGGCAGAGAAGCCAAUGCAGAGCCGAGAGCCAGCCUCCUCCCUGCCAGGCCUCUGCCGCGGGGUCUGGGCCAGGACUGCCAAGGCCGCCACACCUCGCUCAGUUCCGCAGUGCCGGUGCUCCUGCAGCCGGAUCCUCACACACCACCGGACUCGCCCUCCGGAUUCCUCGGGGCUCCCGGGCCCAGGCUGCCCCCGCCCGCCAGCCGGGCACUUUCCAGAUCUUCAGUCCCGAACACCACCCCUCGCAGCUCGGCCGUCCUCCUGCCCGGCCCCAGCUCACACUGCACUCGGUGCCAAGCUCCGACCUUUCUCGAGGGCUCGGGAGACAGCGAAGACCCCGGGUCCCACGCCCAGAGCUGGCACAGCCGUGAGGCCCAGUCCGAUCACCGCAGGCUACCACGAAGCUCCCCAGGAGUCCCACCGGGGUUAGACCGCAGCGUGAGGGUCCCCAGGCCUGCCUGAUCUCCUCCUCCCAGUGGGCCCAGGUCGGGGACCGGGUGGGGCUGCGGACUCUCUCGCAGGGUCCUUGUCCCCACCCCAGGUGCUGUCCCGUGGAUACGGAGGUGUUGAGCGAGUUUCCCGAUUGUUCUGCCUCAGUUUCCCUGCACGGAGCCAAACACAUUACAAAGAGCUAGCAACGAUGCCCAGCUGCACCCCUCACCCUGAGGCCCACAGUUAGUUGUGGUAUCAAAGUGGCCAGAUGUACUCCUUCAGUUACGGUGCCCUGGCUCACCAGGACGGGUCAGACGGGUCAGCAGCCAGUGAGGGAGCCACGGCCAGGGUUUGCCUUGUGGCAGAGGGGGGCGUGGGGGAGAUGGCUUGGGACCCAGGUAACGUCCACAGGGCCAGCCUGCUCAGCAGCUGACAGGGAGGGAUCCGGCGACUGCGGCGUGGAACCAGGUUGCGGUGCCCGAAUCUCCUCCUCGCCUCACCUGUCCAGGAGGGUCACGGGGACAGGAGUCCUGACCCCUCCUGCAGGGACUCCUAUACCCCCUCCUCCCAGGCCCUCCUCCCCGACACGGCCCCUCCUCACUUCCUGCGGGCCCUCCCCACCUCCACCUGGGUCAACAACCCCCGCCUCACUCGAGGCUCCCAAGCAAGGACAGCCGCUGUAACUUUCCACUCCUUGAGUGGCUCUGGCAGGCUGGAGCCUGGGGACGCAAGCACCGGGCACUGCUCUGGGCUCUGCCUCAGCACCAGGCACCUGCCGUGUCCAUCGGGGACACUGCCCACAGGCCCACCUGGAACCCCCGAGCCCUCGUCCCUCCCGACGGGCCCCGGACUCCGCACAGACAGGCCGGCUGGACUGCUCUGGAAUGGGAUCGGGGCCGCCCUGCUGGCCUUGGGGAGGGGCACACAGGUGCUCCCCUGCUGUGCCAGCUCUGGGCUUCUGCCCCGCAAUCGCCACCUUCCGGUGCCCGUGGCUACCCACACCCAGCACCACCAGGCAUGGAUGCACAGACUUUCAGGCCUUGGGGCAGCUCCUCUUCUGCAGCUGCCAGGUGUCCCACAGGACACCCCCGCCACCCUUCUGAGUCCUCAGCACGGGACCUGGGGGCAGACGCUCCAGGGCGCCUGCCCGGCUAGCUCCGGCCCUGUCCCGCGGCUGGUGCUGUCCCGCGGCGGCCUAUCGCCCUGACAUCUCCAAGUUUCCAGUUCCUCCCCACCGCGUCGGCAGGCAGGAGCAGAAGGAGUUCAGAGGCUGUGCCAGCUUGGCCAUCUGCGGGCAGGCAGGGGCUUUGGGAUCCACCCCAUCCCCAGACACCACGGUAGGAGCCAGAGCAGCCACCCCAGGAGGCGCCCCGGCAUCUGGCUCUGGACCUGGUUACUCCCAGGAGCUGCAGGCGCCGGAGUGGCUGUACAAGCUGCGCAAAGGAAGUGGUCAUCGCUGAAGGUGCCCCCCGCCCCAGGCCAGCUGCCCCCAGCUGCUCUCCUCGCCUGCGCCCUCCUCCCGGUGCUUCCCGCCGGGCAUCAGCGUGCUUGGCAAACGCGUCCCCUCUGCAGCCAGCGCUCUGGUUUUGCAGGUGACAAACCCCAGAGUCUGCCCGGCACAAGCUGCAGACCCAGGACAGCCUGAGGUGCGGUUCCGAGGCCUGGGAGCCAGCGAUGUGGAUUCGACACACAGCUGAGGGACGGAGGGCCAGGCGCAUUGUGGCUGGGAGAAGGUCGGGACCGGGGAGAGCAGAGGGGCAGAGGCCCACUCACCGCCUACCGCCUCCGCCCCGCUCCGACCCUCAGCCUGGACGCUGCUCGCUCGCACCGGGAGGGCUGUGCACACGCAGACCCCCUGUCACACGCUGUCCUUGCCAGAAACAGCCUGCAGGCACAUCCAGGAGUAGGAGCACCCCACAACCAGCCAGCGGGGUGUGUGCGAAGUGAGCCACCCCAGGUCCACCCCACACUGGUCUCCUUAAGCCACGUUAAUCUCCAAAUGAAGACAAUGACGAGGCUGAAAUUCCGCCAAACCUCACACACCUCUUUUGUACGCAGCCGAGAAGAACCAUUGCUUCCCGCGGAAUGAAGACUUCUAGGCCAGCAGAGCGUAAAGCCAAGAGAACGGGAAGCGGAAAUUUCGUCAGUGGGUCACCGCGAGCGAUGGCGAGUCGUAGCGCUCACAUCUCCGCCCCUUGAUUCCCAGACCCCGAAUUCUGGCUUUGGGAGCAACAGCGCCGUGUGUUGGACCCUGGUUCAGAGCACACACAGCCCUCAGGAGCACACGGCCCAGCCUUGCAGGGAGUCACCACCUCACCGGGCACUGGAAAGGCCAUUCCACUGCGGUGCCGAGCCCACGGCUGCAGGGUGGGGGGAGCCUGGCAGACCCAGAACUGCGGGCGGGGAAGGCGUAUUUGUACCCAAACUAUUCCUGCAUGAACAAAGCACUACCCUCUCCCUGAGGCCCCAGUCCAGGGUAAUCAGCCCGCCACUGGGUCGCUGGCAGAUGAUGCCAGGAAGCAGUGCCACCUCCGGGACCCAGUCUUGUCCCUGCUACUGGCUGGUUGAGAAUUUGACGGUGGCCGCGGGCAGGGUGGCCUUGGUGGUUGGAAGUCCAUGUUGCUGAGCUCACGGGAGCUGCCAUCCCUGCCACCAGGGCCCCAUUCCUGAGCCCACCGGGAGGUGAGGAGAGCUCCAGAGAGAAGAGGCCAGCUGGCGGCCGCAGAGCGGGUCAUUUAGUUAUUGAAGUCCUCUCGUGGUGAGGUCCCCGCUGGUGGACAUUCACACGGGACCCCAGCAGCUCCACAGCUCGUGCAUGUGCUGGUUCCCCACACUUCCUGGUCACCGGUUUUCCAAUCAAGUCGUUCACCACCCGGCCACGCCUGGCCAGGGCUCCUGGGCCGGUGUAGAGGCGCAUCUCUGCCCACCUCUAAGAGGACGCCUGGCCAGGACUGUCAGGUCACAGCCUCACUUCCGGGCGGUGCAGGCGUGAUCGGGGGAACCAGCCCGCCCAGGCUGCGUCUCCGCUUCUCUCCCUGCUUUGGCCUGUGGUGGGGCCUCUCUCUAAGGCCACAGGAAGUGCAGGACAGGAGGAGGCCACCACGACACGGAAGCAGAGGAACUAUUGGAGAAUAAACCCAGAAAGCCGAGUCACGGCAAGAAUGAAGUUGCACU